UGCAGUCGUACGAGAGUUUUUAACUCAAGUGGCGACGGGUGAGUAACACGUAAGAAUUUACCUUUAGGAGGGGGAUAACAACUGGAAACGGUUGCUAAUACCCCAUAUGCUUUCGAGUGAAAUGGAUUUUUCCGCCUAGAGAGAAGCUUGCGGCUGAUUAGCUUGUUGGUGAGGUAAUGGCUCACCAAGGCGACGAUCAGUAUCUGGUUUGAGAGGACGAUCAGACACACUGGAACUGAGACACGGUCCAGACUCCUACGGGAGGCAGCAGUGGGGAAUUUUCCGCAAUGGGCGAAAGCCUGACGGAGCAAUACCGCGUGAGGGAUGACGGCCUAUGGGUUGUAAACCUCUUUUUUCAGGGAGGAAUCAAUGACGUGUACCUGAAGAAUAAGCAUCGGCUAACUCCGUGCCAGCAGCCGCGGUAAGACGGAGGAUGCAAGUGUUAUCCGGAAUCACUGGGCGUAAAGCGUCUGUAGGUGGUUUAACAAGUCAACUGUUAAAUCUUGAGGCCCAACCUCAAAAUCGCAGUCGAAACUAUUAGACUAGAGUAUAGUAGGGGUAAAGGGAAUUUCCAGUGGAGCGGUGAAAUGCGUAGAGAUUGGAAAGAACACCGAUGGCGAANGCACUUUACUGGGCUAUUACUAACACUCAGAGACGAAAGCUAGGGUAGCAAAUGGGAUUAGAUACCCCAGUAGUCCUAGCUGUAAACAAUGGAUACUAGAUGUUGAACAGAUCGACCUGUGCAGUAUUAAAGCUAACGCGUUAAGUAUCCCGCCUGGGAAGUAUGCUCGCAAGANUGAAACUCAAANNAAUUNGANNGGGCCCGCACAAGCGGNGGANCAUGNNGUUU
This 850-nucleotide ribosomal RNA is filed under the name uncultured bacterium. RNAcentral describes it as "bacterial SSU rRNA". It matches the Rfam family "Bacterial small subunit ribosomal RNA", at positions 56 to 947 of the family's 1533-position model. The record is from RNAcentral.